RNAcentral lists this ribosomal RNA (600 nucleotides) under uncultured bacterium. RNAcentral describes it as "bacterial SSU rRNA". It matches the Rfam family "Bacterial small subunit ribosomal RNA", at positions 92 to 653 of the family's 1533-position model. The record is from RNAcentral.
AGAGUGGCGAACGGGUGAGUAACGCGUGUGAACGAGCUUUGACAGGGGAUACACUCCCAACGGGGUGCUAAUACGCAUGAGACCACGGGAUCGCAUGAUCCUGAGGUCAAAGAUGGCCUCUAUUUAUAAGCUAUCGGUCGAAGAUGGCCUCGCGUCCCAUUAGCUUGUUGGCGGUGUAAAAGACCACCAAGGCGACGAUGGGUAGCUGGUCUGAGAGGAUGGUCAGCCACACUGGGACUGAGAUACGGCCAGACUCCUACGGGAGGCAGCAGUCGAGAGGCUUCGGCAAUGGGGGAAACCCUGACCGAGCGACGCCGCGUGGAGGAUGAAGGCCCUUGGGUUGUAAACUCCUUUUAUUCGGGAAGAAGUGCGAUCAGGUGAAUAAUCUGGUCGUUUGACGGUACCGGAUGAAUAAGCUCCGGCUAACUCCGUGCCAGCAGCCGCGGUAAUACGGGGGGAGCAAGCGUUGUUCGGAAUCACUGGGCGUAAAAGGGCGUUGUNAGGGCGGUCAAAGUAAGUGGGGAUUGUGGAAAUGGCCCCCGGCUCAACCCGGGGGGACCCUGGCAUUCCCCAAAAAUUGGUUUUGGCUUUGGAAGUAUG